Molecule: small nuclear RNA, 101 nt
Filed under: Rhinolophus ferrumequinum (greater horseshoe bat)
Lineage: Eukaryota; Metazoa; Chordata; Mammalia; Chiroptera; Rhinolophidae
Source: RNAcentral
CUGCUUCAGCAGCAUAUAUACUAAAAUUGGAACGAUACAGAGAAGAUUAGCAUGGCCCCUGUGCAAGGAUGACACAAAUUUGUGAAAUAUUCCAAACAAAU